GAUAGGUGUUGAAAAGGCACGUAUAUAUGGCGGCGAAACAUUGAAAAGCAUGGAGAUACAUGGAUAUACCUCAUAAUGAACAUGACCACACACUCGAUGAAGGGAAGAAGGUCUCUAGUCUAUAGGAAACAUACAAUAUGGAAGCAUUGUACUCCUUAUCGAAAAAAUGGAAGCAUCGUAAUAUUGGCGACUUGAAGAAAAUAUGUUUUAUGGACGAGUGGAGCAAGGAAACAAAUUUAUGUUCGGUUAGGAGUAAAUUAGUUUUGUGAUGGAAGCACUUUUAUGAUGGAUGGUAGCAAAGUUUGUCUUGUGUUGGAAACAUAAUGAAAAUAUAUAUUUGACUCAA
Molecule: long non-coding RNA, 346 nt
Filed under: Hordeum vulgare
Lineage: Eukaryota; Viridiplantae; Streptophyta; Magnoliopsida; Poales; Poaceae
Description: long non-coding RNA (HVUL_LNC006900)
Source: RNAcentral